Molecule: ribosomal RNA, 478 nt
Filed under: uncultured bacterium
Lineage: Bacteria
Description: bacterial SSU rRNA
Rfam family: Bacterial small subunit ribosomal RNA
Source: RNAcentral
AAAUGAAUUGACGGGGGCCCGCACAAGCAGCGGAGCGUGUGGUUUAAUUCGAUGCAACGCGAAGAACCUUACCUGGGUUUGACAUGGACCUGCAAGGCCGCGAGAGCGGUUCGCCUACGAGGGUGGUUCACAGGUGCUGCAUGGCUGUCGUCAGCUCGUGUCGUGAGAUGUUGGGUUAAGUCCCGCAACGAGCGCAACCCUUGGCGUCUGUUUCACGUGUCAGGCGCGACGGCCCACCACAAGUGGGAGGAAGGUGGGGAUGAUGUCAAGUCAGCAUGGCCUUUAUGUCCAGGGCGACACACACGCUACAAUGGCGCGUACAAUGGGAGGCGACCCUGCGAGGGGGAGCGGAUCCAGAAAGCGCGUCGUAGUUCGGAUUGGAGUCUGCAACUCGACUCCAUGAAGGCGGAGUUGCUAGUAACCGCGCGUCAGCCAUAGUGCGGUGAAUGCGUUCCCGGGCCUUGUACACACCGCCCGU